GACGAACGCUGGCGGCGUGCCUAACACAUGCAAGUCGAACGGAGCUGUUUUGAAAGAUUUCUUCGGAAUGAAUUUGAUUUAGUUUAGUGGCGGACGGGUGAGUAACGCGUGAGUAACCUGCCUUCAAGAGGGGGAUAACAUUCUGAAAAGAAUGCUAAUACCGCAUGACAUAUCGGAAUCACAUGAUUUUGAUAUCAAAGAUUUUAUCGCUUGAAGAUGGACUCGCGUCCGAUUAGUUAGUUGGUGAGGUAACGGCUCACCAAGACCGCGAUCGGUAGCCGGACUGAGAGGUUGAACGGCCACAUUGGGACUGAGACACGGCCCAGACUCCUACGGGAGGCAGCAGUGGGGGAUAUUGCGCAAUGGGGGCAACCCUGACGCAGCAACGCCGCGUGAAGGAUGAAGGUUUUCGGAUUGUAAACUUCUUUUAUUAAGGACGAAAAAUGACGGUACUUAAUGAAUAAGCUCCGGCUAACUACGUGCCAGCAGCCGCGGUAAUACGUAGGGAGCAAGCGUUGUCCGGAUUUACUGGGUGUAAAGGGUGCGUAGGCGGCUUUGCAAGUCAGAUGUGAAAUCUAUGGGCUCAACCCAUAAACUGCAUUUGAAACUGUAGAGCUUGAGUGAAGUAGAGGCAGGCGGAAUUCCCCGUGUAGCGGUGAAAUGCGUAGAGAUGGGGAGGAACACCAGUGGCGAAGGCGGCCUGCUGGGCUUUAAC
Molecule: ribosomal RNA, 715 nt
Filed under: uncultured Lachnospiraceae bacterium
Lineage: Bacteria; Bacillati; Bacillota; Clostridia; Lachnospirales; Lachnospiraceae
Description: bacterial SSU rRNA
Rfam family: Bacterial small subunit ribosomal RNA
Source: RNAcentral